GAUAAACGCUGACAGAAUGCUUAACACAUGCAAGUCGAUGAUGGGAGCUAGCUUGCUAGAAGAAGUCAUGGCGGACGGGUGAGUAACGUGUAAAGAACUUACCAUAUAGACUGGGAUAACAGAGGGAAACUUCUGAUAAUACUGGAUAAGUUAGUAGUAGCAUUACUAAGUAAUGAAAGGUAGCAAUACGCUAUAUGAGAGCUUUGCAUCCUAUUAGCUAGUUGGUGGGGUAAAAGCCUACCAAGGCGAUGAUAGGUAGCCGGCCUGAGAGGGUGGACGGCCACAAGGGGACUGAGAUACGGCCCUUACUCCUACGGGAGGCAGCAGUGGGGAAUAUUGGACAAUGGAGGCAACUCUGAUCCAGCAAUUCUGUGUGUGUGAAGAAGGUUUUAGGACUGUAAAACACUUUUAGUAGGGAAGAAAGAAAUGACGGUACCUACAGAAGAAGCGACGGCUAAAUACGUGCCAGCAGCCGCGGUAAUACGUAUGUCGCGAGCGUUAUCCGGAAUUAUUGGGCUUAAAGGGCAUCUAGGCGGUUAAACAAGUUGAAGGUGAAAACCUGUGGCUCAACCAUAGGCUUGCCUACAAAACUGUAUAACUAGAGUACUGGAAAGGUGGGUGGAACUACACGAGUAGAGGUGAAAUUCGUAGAUAUGUGUAGGAAUGCCGAUGAUGAAGAUAACUCACUGGACAGCAACUGACGCUGAAGUGCGAAAGCUAGGGGAGCAAACAGG
This 734-nucleotide ribosomal RNA is filed under the name uncultured Sneathia sp. RNAcentral describes it as "bacterial SSU rRNA". It matches the Rfam family "Bacterial small subunit ribosomal RNA", at positions 28 to 776 of the family's 1533-position model. Lineage: Bacteria; Fusobacteriati; Fusobacteriota; Fusobacteriia; Fusobacteriales; Leptotrichiaceae. The record is from RNAcentral.